AUUAUGAAUGGAGACUAAAACUCUUCAACUGUUUCUAUUUCUUUUCGUUUCUGCAACCAAUGCUGUGGACUUAUAUAGACCACGAACGGGUGCUUCAUGAAGUGACUAUUCAUGAACGGGUGUUUCAUGAAGUGGCCCUUCAAUUGUGACUUUUUAUUUGAUCAUAACUACCAAUUAGUUUUAUGAGUCAAGUGCAAUGAAUGUAAGAAUUAAUUCCAGCGGACAUAUACUCGAAGAGACACAUUAUAAAGAUGUGUCUUUUCAUGUCAUAUCAUUUCACUAAAAGUCACAUCCUUUCACAUUCACUCUAAGAGUCACAUCCUUUGAUUAGGGUUGCAUCCACUCACUAAAGGUUGCAUCCAUUCACUAUGGAUCGCAUCCAUUCACUAAAAAUUAAAGAACAAAAUAUAUUAUUUUAAAAAUUUCCUUACAGUUCCCCACCAAUUUUUAAAAUACAUCAAAAUACAAAAUAAAACAAAAUCAAAAAUCAAAAAUCAAAAAUCAAAAAAUUCUAAACAACUUGACAAAAUCGUAUGCAUAGGUGUAGGUGUAUUAAAACUUGAACCUACACUUAGGGUGCGUUUGGUUCCACGUAAAAUUGUGGAAAAAAAAAUUUCGGUGGACAAAAAAUUUUCGGUGGAAAAAAUGUUUUACGUCGUUUAUGUUUGGUUUGUAGGAAAAGAAAAGUAAUUUUUCAUGACUGUUGUUCGGUUGAAAGGAAAAAAUUUAUAAAAAGAUAUUUAAUAUAUAUUUUUUUAUUAUUAUAUAUAUUAUUAAUAUAUAUAUAUAUAUUAUUAUAAUAAUUUUUAUUUAUAGAUUAAAUAUAUUUAAAAUUACAAUAAACAUAUUAUAUAGUAUAUAAGAGUUAUAUAUUUAGAUAUUAAUAAAUAUAUUAUAUAUUUUCGGUUGUUUGGUUGAAAGAACAAAAAAAAGGAAAAAAACAAAUAGAAAAUAAUUAUAUAUUCUUUUUAUUAUUAUAUACAUUGUAUAUUAUUAAUAUACAAUAAUUAUUAUACUAUAUAUAUUAUUAUUAUAGGUUUUUUAUAAAUAAAUAAAUAUAAAAUAUAUUAUACAAUAAGUAUAUAAUAUAUACAUGAUAGUAUAUUAUAUUUAGGGUUAUUUGCAUACCCCUGCAAACAUAGUGAAUUGCGGAAAUAUCCCUGCAAAACGGAAACUCCAUAAGUUGUCCCUGCAAAAGUCCUAAUUUAUGCAGAUAUGUCCCUUUGAUUAACAUCUGUUAGAGAACUGUUUAUUUUUUAACAGUUUUCAUGUGAAAUGACCAUUUUGCCCUCACAAAUAUAUCCCUCCAAAAGCAUCUUCCCCUUCUCUUUCUCUUCCUCUUCCUCUUCGGGCCGCCGGAGCGGAUGGCGGCGACGACGCGGGUUGAGCUCGCUGGCGACAAAGAAGAGGGAAGAGAAAGAAUAAGAGGAAGAAAAAAAAGGAAGAGGAAGAAGGAGAGGAAUAGGGAGAGGAAGAGGGAAGAGAAAGAUGAAGAGGGAAAGGGUUCGCCGCCGCGCGCCGCCGCCGCAUCUCCUCCCUUGCCGGCGACGAAGAAGAGGGAAGAGGAAGAGGAAGAGGAAAAGAAUGAGGGAGAGGAAGAAGAAAAGGGAGAUGGAGAGGGUUCGCCGCCGUCGUCGCAUCUUUUCCCUCGCCGGCGAUGAAGAAAAGGGAAGAGGAAGAGGCGAUGAAGAAAAGCGAAGAGGAAAAGGGAGAGGAAGAAGAAGGGAGAAAAUGGAAGAGGGAGAGGAAGGAGGAAAAGAAAGAGAGAGGGUUCGCCGUCGCCGCCGUCGUCGCUGCUGCCGCCGCCCUCGCCGGCGACGAAGAAGAGGGAAGAAGAAGAGGAGGAAGAAGAAGAAGGGUAGGAUCGUAAAUUUACGUUAUAAUUAACCAUGGUUAAGUACUUUAACCGUGGUUAACGAAAAUUUUCUAACAGUCCUUAACGGCAGGGACAUAUCUGCAUAACUUUAGACUUUUGUAGGGAUAACUUAUGGAGUUUCCGUUUUGCAGGGAUAUUUCUGCAAUUCACUAUGUUUGUAGGGACGUGUAUGCAAAUAACCCUUAUAUUUAGUACUAUAAAGCAAAUCACUAUAUAUUUAUAAAUCAUAUUUAUAAGGGGCAAUUGCUUAUUUAUAAAUAUAAUAUUAUAUAGUAAUAUAUUUAUAUAAAAAUAAAAUAAUAUAUAUAUAUAUAAUAUUAUAUAUAUUAUAUAGUAAUAUAUUUAUAUAAAAAUAAAAUUAUAUAUAUAUAUGUAUAUAUAGAGCUAGGCUCCUAUGCUUUCGAAAGUACGAAGGCCUCCGUGCUUGUAAGUUGUUUUCGAUGAUGGGACGUUCGAUUCGGCGAUCGGUUCCGUUAUACAUGAUCUACGCUAUUAGAACUAUNCACUAUUCCACCUACUACCACCUACCACCAUCAUCUCAACCUUACAUCUCUCCAUUCAAUAGCUAAAAAUUCAAAAGCACUAUCCUCUUUGUGCUUUUGAGAGUAUUCUAGCUCAACUCUAUAUAUAUAUAGAACUAGGCUCCUAUGCUUUCGAAAGUACGGAGGCCUCCGUGCUUGUAAGUUGUUUUCGAUGAUGGGACGUUCGAUUCGGCGAUCGGUUCCGUUAUACAUGAUCUACGCUAUUAGAACUAUCUAGAAACCAAAUUUCAUAAUUUUUUGACUUAGUUUGCCUAGUGAACGAGUAGCCUCAAAAUGAACGGCUGAAAAUAAAAAUCUCAUAAAAACAGUGAUAAAUGACUCAAAUUGCAAAUCGGAAGUAUUGUUCUUGCUAUUGAUGUUAAGUAGAAUUUUCUAUUAAAUUUUCAUGUAAUUUGGAUACUUCUAUACCGUUGAACUUAAAAAUGUGCCGCAUCGGCCUUUAAAAUAGUCAUUUUUGGGACCUUUUGAUCGCUUAGUAAAUGAUAUCAAAAAAUUAUAAAAUUUGAUUUCUAGAUAGUUCUAAUAAGGUAAAUUAUACCUAAGGGAGCCGAUCGUCGAAUUGGAUGUCCUAUCAUCGAAAAUAAUUUACAAGCACGGAGGCUCCGGUACUUUCCUAAGUAUAGUAGACAUACUCUCUCUCUCUCUCUCUCUCUCUCUCUCUCUCUCUAUAUAUAUAUAUAUAUAUAUAUAUAUUAAUUUGUAAAAUAUUAUAAAAUUUAUUUAUUUAUAAAUAUAUCAGUGCUCUCUUGAGCGGCCUCCACACACGCCGAAAGAGAAAGGACAACGAAUAAAAAGAGGGUCAAAUAAUUAAUGCUAUUGCUUUACACCAUGCAUGUUGCAAUUUAAAAAAGGAAAAGAGAUUAGCAGUACUUUUGUCGCAUCAAAACGCAUCCACCUUCUACAUAUUAUAUUUUGUUGGCUUGGUUAAACUGUGUUAUCAUAUAAUUUGUUUACAUUUUAAUUAAAUUAUCAAAUAGAAUAUUACGUACUAUGAUUCGAAAAAAUCGAGAACCAAAAUACCACGUAUCUCAUAAUUCAAAUAAAAAAUUAUAAUUAAUUAAAAUUUGAGAAUUAGAACGUCACACAUCUUAUAAUUUGAGUUCGAAAUUGCGAUGAAAUAAAGUUGGAAUCUUCACCUUUUAUUAAGAUAAGGAUUGGGAAGGGUAAUAUGAUUUUCAGCGGGCCCAACACGGUGGAAAAACCGGGGAAAAGCACCAAUAAGAUCAAACCCAAAACAAGAACUAUAACAACUCUACUCACACCCUCUAGCAGAUGUAAAUAGGGGACAAGAGCAAAAAAACAAAAAUAACAGGGGAAAGAUCAAGAAGGACGGCUCAGUGACAAAUCAGGGAACAUCAAGCCAAGUCUUUCGUCUUCAGCUUUUAUUAAGAUAAGGAUUCGAAUGGCUAAUAUGAUUUUCAGCGGGCCCAACACGGUGGAAAAACAACGGACUUUGUGAGUGGNNNNNNNNNNNNNNNNNNAAACACCAUAGCCGGACUCUCUCUCUCUCUCUCUCUCUCUCUCUCUAUAUAUAUAUAUAUAUAUAUAUAUAUUACACAUUAUACAUACAUAAUGAAUGAGAGAGUCCACGGGAGGGUCAGGUCCCUCGUGGACUCUACCUCACGCGGUCCACGAGGUGAAGUUCACCUCGUGGACCGUGUGUUAAUAGUUCAUGCGCCGCGAUUUUUCACCGCCCAAGCUUUUCGUUUUCCACUCGAUGCGAGCGGAAAACGAAAAGGCUUCGUUUUCUGAGAAUAUGUAAAAACGGUUUUCCUAAAAAAUUUUUUACGAGCAACCAAACUAUAGGAAAAUAGUUUUUCAACCGAAAAUUUUUUUUCGGAGCUGUUUUACAAGGAUCCAAACACCACCUUAGUGAAAACACAUCAAAGUUAGUCAUAAUUGAAUGGUAGACAAGCUUUGAACCAAUAAUUAUUUUUGACUAACCGGACAUAUCUCACACAUAGAAAUUUAUAAUCAAUCGAGUGCUCUAUUUUAUUGCUGACACUUUUAU
This 4429-nucleotide long non-coding RNA is filed under the name Ananas comosus (pineapple). Its description in RNAcentral is "long non-coding RNA (ACOM_LNC001872)". Lineage: Eukaryota; Viridiplantae; Streptophyta; Magnoliopsida; Poales; Bromeliaceae. The record is from RNAcentral.